RNAcentral lists this ribosomal RNA (520 nucleotides) under uncultured bacterium. RNAcentral describes it as "bacterial SSU rRNA". It matches the Rfam family "Bacterial small subunit ribosomal RNA", at positions 980 to 1504 of the family's 1533-position model. The record is from RNAcentral.
UUUGACAUGUACGGAAUUUGCCAGAGAUGGCUUAGUGCUCGAAAGAGAGCCGUAACACAGGUGCUGCAUGGCUGUCGUCAGCUCGUGUCGUGAGAUGUUGGGUUAAGUCCCGCAACGAGCGCAACCCUUGUCAUUAGUUGCUACGAAAGGGCACUCUAAUGAGACUGCCGGUGACAAACCGGAGGAAGGUGGGGAUGACGUCAAGUCCUCAUGGCCCUUAUAGGUGGGGCUACACACGUCAUACAAUGGCCGGUACAAAGGGUCGCAAACCCGCGAGGGGGAGCUAAUCCAUCAAAGCCGGUCGUAGUCCGGAUCGCAGUCUGCAACUCGACUGCGUGAAGUCGGAAUCGCUAGUAAUCGUGGAUCAGCAUGUCACGGUGAAUACGUUCCCGGGUCUUGUACACACCGCCCGUCACACCAUGGGAGCGGGUCUCGCCAGAAGUAGUUAGCCUAACCGCAAGGAGGGCGCUUACCACGGUAGUAUUCAUGACUGGGGUGAAGUCGUAACAAGGUAACCGUA